AUACUCUGGUUUCUCUUCAGAUCGUAUAAAUCUUUCGCCUUUUACUAAAGAUUUCCGUGGAGAGGAACAAUUCUGAGUCUUAAGCUAAUUUUUUGAGGCCUUGCUUUCGCGAGGCU
Bos grunniens (domestic yak) is the source of this 116-nucleotide small nuclear RNA. Its record names the gene U5. It matches the Rfam family "U5 spliceosomal RNA". Rfam says of the family: U5 RNA is a component of both types of known spliceosome. The precise function of this molecule is unknown, though it is known that the 5' loop is required for splice site selection and p220 binding, and that both the 3' stem-loop and the Sm site are important for Sm protein binding and cap methylation. The record is from Ensembl. Lineage: Eukaryota; Metazoa; Chordata; Mammalia; Artiodactyla; Bovidae.